AGCUGGUCUCUCCUGCAUGUGUGACUUCCACAGCCAGCCUGAAGCUGCAAACUUGCUGGGAGGCACAUACUAUCCAGACCCUGAGAAAUCAAGGGAGACAUCAGUAAAGCUAUGUGGAUUCCACCCCUCCAGCAGGACCUGAGGGUCUGGGAGCAGAGGCCAGAUGGACCCUUGAGUGAAGAGAAGUCUUCCCUAAGCCCAGAUGCCACC
Long non-coding RNA from Cynocephalus volans (Philippine flying lemur), 210 nucleotides. RefSeq lists it as uncharacterized. The record is from RefSeq and is a predicted model, not a curated record. The transcript is spliced from 3 exons. NCBI's taxonomy places the organism in Eukaryota, Metazoa, Chordata, Mammalia, Dermoptera, Cynocephalidae.